This 1855-nucleotide ribosomal RNA is filed under the name uncultured Acidobacteriota bacterium. Its description in RNAcentral is "bacterial LSU rRNA". It matches the Rfam family "Bacterial large subunit ribosomal RNA", at positions 189 to 1973 of the family's 2925-position model. Lineage: Bacteria; Pseudomonadati; Acidobacteriota. The record is from RNAcentral.
GGAAGUGAACCAUCUCAGUACCCACAGGAACAGAAAACAACAGUGAUUCCGCUAGUAGCGGCGAGCGAACGCGGACAUAGCCCAAACCAUCGUGCUUGCACGGUGGGGUUGUAGGGCCUGUCUGGCCGUAAGGCCGGCGAGUUACCAUAUCAGCAUGCUAGUCGAACGGCCUGGAACGGCCGGCCACAGAGGGUGAAAGCCCCGUAGGCGAAAGCGUGCUGUCUCGCUGGGCAGGUUCCUGAGUACCGCGGGACACGAGAAAUCCCGUGGGAAUCUGCGAGGACCAUCUCGCAAGGCUAAAUACUCCUCGGCGACCGAUAGUGAACCAGUACCGUGAGGGAAAGGUGAAAAGCACCCCUGUGAGGGGAGUGAAAUAGUACCUGAAACCGUAUGCCUACAAGCAGUGGGAGGGCGUUUGCCCGGGGCUUGCUCCGGGUGUUGCCUGACCGCGUGCCUUUUGCAUAAUGAGCCGGCUAGUUGCUCUCGGUGGCGAGGUUAAGCGUAAGCGAGCCGAAGCGAAAGCGAGUCCGAAAUGGGCGUUAAGUCGUCGGGAGCAGACGCGAAGCGAUGUGAUCUACCCUUGGCCAGGGUGAAGCGCGGGUAACACCGCGUGGAGGCCCGAACCAGUGUUGGUUGAAAACAACUUGGAUGAGCUGAGGGUAGGGGUGAAAGGCUAAUCAAACUUCGUGAUUGCCCGUUCUCCUCGAAAUGCCUUUAGGGGCAGCCUCGAGUGGUCGGCGCUGGUGGUAGAGAACUGGAAAGGGCUAAGGGGCUUACCACCUUACUGAACCCAACCAAACUGCGAAUGCCAGCGACACGUAGCUCGGGAGUGAGACGGUGGGGGCUAAGCUUCAUCGUCGAAAGGAAAACAGUCCAGACUACCGGCUAAGGUCCCAAACUCUAUGCUAAGUGGUAAAGGAUCUGGAGACGCUCCGACAACCAGGAGGUUGGCUUAGAAGCAGCCAUCCUUUAAAGAAAGCGUAAUAGCUCACUGGUCAAGCGGCUCUGGGCCGAUAAUCCACCGGGGCUCAAGCAUAGGACCGAAGCCGUAGAUUCGCCGUGGCCUGCGGGCCGCGGCAAUGGUAGAGGAGCGUUCUCUGCUGCAUUGAAGCCAGACCGUGAGGACUGGUGGAGUGCAGAGAAGUGACCCUGCCGGCAUAAGUAGCGAUAAGAGAGGUGAGAAUCCUCUCCGCCGUAAGCCUAAGGUUUCCUGAGGAAGGUUCGUCCGCUCAGGGUUAGUCGGGUCCUAACGCGAGGCCGAAAGGCGUAGCGGAUGGAUAUCCGGUCAAUAUUCCGGAACUACCUGGAGAUCGUUAUUACGAUGGGGGGACGCAGGAGGCUAGCCAGGCCCACGAUUGGACGUGUGGGUUGAGGCAUGUAGGGGGGUCCGCCAGGCAAAUCCGGCGGGUCACAUUCCCUGAGGUGCUAUCGCGAGAGCCGCAAGGCUCGCAAAGCUGGUGACGCCACGCUGCCGAGAAAAGCCUCUAAGGAGAUCUUCGGGUACCCGUACCGCAAACCGACACAGGUAGGCGAGGAGAAAAUCCUCAGGCGCAAGUGAGAACCCUCGUUUAGGAACUCGGCAAACUUGCCCCGUAACUUCGGAAGAAGGGGUGCUCCAUUAUCGUGCGUCCGGUUCGCCCGGGCGUGCGCGAAGGAGUUGCAAUAAAGAGGGAGAAGCGACUGUUUACUAAAAACACAGGGCUCUGCUAAGUCGAACACGACGUAUAGGGUCUGACGCCUGCCCGGUGCCGGAAGGUUAAAGGGAGAGGUUAGCCGCAAGGCGACGCUUCGAACUGAAGCCCCGGUAAACGGCGGCCGUAACUAUAACGGUCCUAAGGUAGCGAAAUUCCUUGUC